Molecule: non-coding RNA, 186 nt
Filed under: Nicotiana sylvestris (wood tobacco)
Lineage: Eukaryota; Viridiplantae; Streptophyta; Magnoliopsida; Solanales; Solanaceae
Description: Bacterial small subunit ribosomal RNA
Rfam family: Bacterial small subunit ribosomal RNA
Source: Rfam by way of RNAcentral
AAGGCUAGCAACAGUGGGGAAUUUUCUGCAAUGGACGAAAGCCUGACGGAGCAAUGCCGCGUUGAGGUAGAAGGCCCACGGGUCGUGAACUUCUUUUCCCGGAGAAGAAGCAAUGAAGGUAUUUGGGGAAUAAGCAUCGGCCAACUCUGUGCCAACAACCGCGGUAAUAAUGAGGAUGCAAGCGUU